RNAcentral lists this ribosomal RNA (1161 nucleotides) under Triticum aestivum (bread wheat). RNAcentral describes it as "partial small subunit ribosomal RNA". Lineage: Eukaryota; Viridiplantae; Streptophyta; Magnoliopsida; Poales; Poaceae. The record is from RNAcentral.
AUGCGGCAACCACCAGGAUAUGAGAAUCAAAGCACACCACAGUAUGUAUGUAAGUUGGACAAGGCUUUGUACGGUUUGAAACAAGCCCCACGAGCUUGGUAUUCCAGGUUAAGCAUGCAGUUACAAAAUCUUGGGUUCACACCAUCUAAGGCAGAUACUUCUUUAUUCUUUUAUAACAAAGGGAAUAUCACUAUCUUUGUGCUUGUUUAUGUUGAUGAUAUAAUUGUUGCUAGUUCAAGCCCAGAUGCCACUGUCUGUUUACUUAAGGAUCUAAAGCUAGAAUUUGCUCUCAAGGACUUGGGUGAUCUUCACUAUUUUUUGGGAAUUGAGGUAAAGAAAAUUAAAGAUGGUAUACUUCUCUCCCAGGAAAAGUAUACUAAUGAUAUUCUCAAAAGAGUGGGAUUGGAGCACUGCAAGCCAGUAAGUACACCAAUUUCUACCUCAGAAAAACUUACAGUUGAAUGUGGAGAAGCCCUUGGGUCAGAAGAUGCAACAAAUUAUAGAAGUGUUGUAGGUGCUUUACAGUAUUUAACACUUACACGUCCUGAUAUUUCCUAUUCAGUAAAUAAGGUCUGCCAAUACUUGCAUGCACCCAGAACUACUCAUUGGACUACAGUGAAGAGAAUCCUUAGAUAUCUCAAAUUUUCAGAAGGACUUGGGCUCCAGAUUACCAAGUCCUCUUCUAUGUUUGUUACUGCUUACUCUGAUGCUGACUGGGCAGGAUGUGCUGAUAACAGAAGGUCUACAGGUGGUUUUGCUGUUUUUCUGGGAACAAAUCUUGUGUCUUGGAGUGCAAGAAAGCAAGCAACUGUUUCUAGGUCAAGUACGGAAGCUGAAUACAAGGCCCUAGCAAAUGCCACAACUGAAGUAAUGUGGAUACAGACAUUACUCUAUGAGCUUGGAAUCAAAGCUCCACAGGCUGCAAGGUUAUGGUGUGAUAAUAUUGGUGCAACCUACCUCUCAGCCAAUCCGGUCUUUCAUGCAUGCACAAAACACAUUGAGGUUGAUUUUCAUUUUGUCAGAGAAAGAGUAGCUCGGAAGCUACUGGACAUUCGGUUUAUACCUACUGGAGAUCAACUUGCUGAUGGUUUUACAAAGCCUCUUACCAUGAGAAGGUUGGACGAGUUCAAGUACAAUCUCAACCUUAGUAAAGUUUCAUAA